CAAAAGUUUGGUCCUGGCUUUAAUAUCAGCUUUAACCCAAUUUACACAUGCAAGCCUCCGCAGCCCCGUGAGAAUGCCCUCAAUCCCCCGUCCGGGGACGAGGAGCCGGUAUCAGGCACAUAAAUUUAGCCCAAGACGCCUUGCUUAGCCACACCCCCAAGGGAAUUCAGCAGUGAUAAACAUUAAAACAUAAGUGAAAACUUGACUUAGUCAGGGUUAAGAGGGCCGGUAAAACUCGUGCCAGCCACCGCGGUUAUACGAGAGACCCUAGUUGAUAUAUUCGGCGUAAAGAGUGGUUAUGGAAAACAAGCACUAAAGCCAAAGAGCCCUCAGGCCGUUAUACGCACCCGGGGCCUCGAACCACUAUCACGAAAGUAGCUUUACCCUCGCCCACCAGAACCCACGAGAGCUGGGACACAAACUGGGAUUAGAUACCCCACUAUGCCCCGCCGUAAACUUAGAUAUAUUAGUACAACAAAUAUCCGCCCGGGAACUACGAGCGCCAGCUUAAAACCCAAAGGACUUGGCGGUGCUUCAGACCCCC
Molecule: ribosomal RNA, 544 nt
Filed under: Clupea harengus (Atlantic herring)
Lineage: Eukaryota; Metazoa; Chordata; Actinopteri; Clupeiformes; Clupeidae
Description: partial small subunit ribosomal RNA
Rfam family: Bacterial small subunit ribosomal RNA
Source: RNAcentral